AGAAUCAACGCUGGCGGCGUGCCUAACACAUGCAAGUCGAACGAGAAAGUGGAGCAAUCCAUGAGUAAAGUGGCGCACGGGUGAGUAACACGUGACUAACCUACCCUUGAGUGGGGGAUAACCUAGAGAAAUCUGGGCUAAUACCGCAUAAUACCUUCGGGUCAAAGGAGCAAUUCGCUUAAGGAGGGGGUCGCGGCCGAUUAGUUAGUUGGCGGGGUAAUGGCCCACCAAGACAGUGAUCGGUA
RNAcentral lists this ribosomal RNA (245 nucleotides) under uncultured bacterium. RNAcentral's name for it is "partial small subunit ribosomal RNA". It matches the Rfam family "Bacterial small subunit ribosomal RNA", at positions 26 to 285 of the family's 1533-position model. The record is from RNAcentral.